GGAUUAGCUAGUAGGUGGGGUAACGGCUCACCUAGGCGACGAUCCCUAGCUGGUCUGAGAGGAUGACCAGCCACACUGGAACUGAGACACGGUCCAGACUCCUACGGGAGGCAGCAGUGGGGAAUAUUGCACAAUGGGCGCAAGCCUGAUGCAGCCAUGCCGCGUGUAUGAAGAAGGCCUUCGGGUUGUAAAGUACUUUCAGCGGGGAGGAAGGGAGUAAAGUUAAUACCUUUGCUCAUUGACGUUACCCGCAGAAGAAGCACCGGCUAACUCCGUGCCAGCAGCCGCGGUAAUACGGAGGGUGCAAGCGUUAAUCGGAAUUACUGGGCGUAAAGCGCACGCAGGCGGUUUGUUAAGUCAGAUGUGAA
This 368-nucleotide ribosomal RNA is filed under the name Escherichia coli. RNAcentral describes it as "bacterial SSU rRNA". It matches the Rfam family "Bacterial small subunit ribosomal RNA", at positions 238 to 598 of the family's 1533-position model. The record is from RNAcentral. Lineage: Bacteria; Pseudomonadati; Pseudomonadota; Gammaproteobacteria; Enterobacterales; Enterobacteriaceae.